CAUUAAUUUAUCUGAAAUAGCUUGUAUUUCUUAAUGUAGGACAAUGUAAAUUAGAGCUAUAAACUGCUUGGAACUUCCUUCAUUGUAACCUAUGGGUUUUGAUAUGUUGUGUUUUAUUUUCACUUGAUUCUAGGGGCUUUCUUAUUUCCUUCUUAAUUUCUUACAAUUUUUUUUAAAACCUGUAUAUUUGUUUAUAUUUGUAUAGGGCUGUAUGUAUGUGUCCACAGAGCCAGAAAAGUAUGAUGGAUCCCAUGGAGCUGGAGUUACAGAUGGUUGUAAGCUGCCUAAUCAGGAAGCUGGCCAUCAAGCCUGAAUCUUUUUAAAGAGAGAUACACACCCUUAACCACUGAACGAUUGGUUUUGCUAUGUAGUCUGGGCUGGCCCCAGGCUUACCAUCCUCCUGCUGGGAUUAUCAACUAUGUGCCACCACAGCUGAUAGUCCAGCUAGAAACUGGAAACAACCUAGAUAUCCCUCAACCAAAGCAGCAAUAAAGAAAAUGUGGUACAUUUACACAAGGGAAUAUUACUCAGCUGUUCAAAACAAUGACAUCAUGAAAGUUGUAGGUAAGUGGAUGGAACUAGAAAAAAAAAUCUUAAGUGAGACAACCCAGACCCAGAAAGACAAGCGUGGUAUGUAGUCACUUAUAAGUGAAUAUUAGCUGCUAAGUAAAGGAUAAUCAUACUACAAUCCACAGACCCAGGGUUCUAGAACCCUCCAGGGAGGGUUCUUCUAGCAGGGGAUGGGGAGGUUGGGGUGUGCAUAGAUCUCCCUGGGAAGGGGGAAAUAGAAUAGGCUUUAUGAAUAGACUGGGGAUUGGUGUGGAUAGGAACAGGAUGGAUCAGGUCAGGGACAGAAAGAUGGAGGGAGAGAGUACAGGGAGAGAUGACUGGAAUUAGAGGACAUUUGGAGGUUAUGUGGAAACCUAGUGCAGUGGAAACUUCCUGGAACUAAUGAGGGUGACCCUAUGGAGGUCUCCUAGUAAUGGAGGAAACAGAGCCUGAACCAGGUAAGGUUUCUAUUGGUGGGACUGGGAUACUAACCCAGCCAUAAAACCUUUGACCUACAACCUAUCCUGCCUACAAGAUCUACUGGGGC
RNAcentral lists this long non-coding RNA (1096 nucleotides) under Cricetulus griseus (Chinese hamster). RNAcentral's name for it is "lncRNA (ENSCGRG00015041358.1)". Lineage: Eukaryota; Metazoa; Chordata; Mammalia; Rodentia; Cricetidae. The record is from RNAcentral.